Molecule: ribosomal RNA, 423 nt
Filed under: uncultured bacterium
Lineage: Bacteria
Description: bacterial SSU rRNA
Rfam family: Bacterial small subunit ribosomal RNA
Source: RNAcentral
UAAGGAAUAUUGGUCAAUGGACGCAAGUCUGAACCAGCCAUGCCGCGUGGAGGAUGAAUGCCCUCUGGGUUGUAAACUCCUUUUAUUUGGGAAGAAAUGUAGGAAUUCUUUCUUACUUGACGGUACCAAGUGAAUAAGCACCGGCUAACUCCGUGCCAGCAGCCGCGGUAAUACGGAGGGUGCAAGCGUUAUCCGGAUUCACUGGGUUUAAAGGGUGCGUAGGCGGGCAGGUAAGUCAGUGGUGAAAUCUUCGAGCUUAACUCGGAAACUGCCGUUGAUACUAUCUGUCUUGAAUGUUGUGGAGGUGAGCGGAAUAUGUCAUGUAGCGGUGAAAUGCUUAGAUAUGACAUAGAACACCCAUUGCGAAGGCAGCUCACUACGCAACAAUUGACGCUGAGGCACGAAAGCGUGGGGAUCAAACAG